GUCAGUUCCACCAACAGGUACACCUUCGCAACUUUGUCUUUUCAAGGAAUGUUCUUUGGAGUCUCAAACGGGUGUGCCUACAUUCUCUGGCAUCCAUACUGCCCAUUAUUGUGGAUCGCACAGACCACAGGGACUAGGAGGUUGGAGAGGUCAAGAAUGCAGAAUGAUCUGAUAGAGAUGAUGAGAGAAAUUAGGUUUCAUGAGUCUGCCAUAUGAAGGAGGAGAGACAGCAGAUGGCUCUGUGGCCUGUCUUGGUCCCAUCUUCUUGAUACCUAUAUGCCACUUCUGACAGAACAUUAAGUAACUUGCUCCAAAUAAGAUGAAGAUUGAUUGUUUCUGUCUCCAGAGUGAUGGUCUUCUCCUGAGGCUUACUAAAUGACAUGAAUAGCACUGAUGAAAUUGUGGUGAAACAGUGUUGACAGUCUGCUUUUGAAAAGUGUGGCACUAGAUCAAAGUUCAUCUAUUAAAUUCUUUACUCUGAAUGAUCAGCCAAUGCACAGCAUUUCAGCAUCAUGCUUUGUCCUCAGAAGAUUUCAUCACUGUUUCUCAAGGAUGUGACUACCGUCUUGGUGUUGGUAUUUUGGCUGGCAAGGAAUCACUGCUUGUAGAAGAACAUAGAUCAGCUAAAUCAACUGUUCAGAGGGGCACCUGGCACCACUCCCAAUAUGCAAGAUGGCUGCAGUUUUUCUUUGGCUUAGAUGUCACCUCUGGAAGAUGGAGACAAGAUACUGUAUGUGCAGUUGAAAUAGUUUUUUUCAGUAUGGUACGGCAAGCCCCACCAUUGAUUCAUUUCUAUACAACUCGAGUAUGA
This is a long non-coding RNA of Anser brachyrhynchus (Pink-footed goose), 811 nucleotides long. The record is from Ensembl. NCBI's taxonomy places the organism in Eukaryota, Metazoa, Chordata, Aves, Anseriformes, Anatidae.